Molecule: long non-coding RNA, 516 nt
Organism: Tigriopus californicus
Lineage: Eukaryota; Metazoa; Arthropoda; Copepoda; Harpacticoida; Harpacticidae
Exons: 2
Source: RefSeq, a predicted model, not a curated record
AGACGUGCGUGUGUUUUCCGUCCAAAUCGGGUCUUUCUGUGAUAAUUGAAUUAGGCGUUGGACUUUUUGUGAUUGAAACUGGACGGAAAUGAGGAUGUUUGAGCUCUUUAUCAGUGUCCAUUUCGUGAACCUUGUUCAGUUCACAAUCAGAGCCCAAGGCUUAAAGGGAGUUUCAGAUACUCAAACACGUCCACACACUCAAAUAUUCGUUCGAGUGAUAAGAACCUAGUUACUCAGAGCCCCAAAAUGCACCCUAUUCAGGCAAAGUUUGAUCGGACCAAACAUUUAAAGCUGUUCUUACGACAAGUGAGUAAAACUCGAUCGAAAUGGUUGAAAUAUUCCACCGGCUGCGAUUUCAAAGACUUAAAGAUGAAGGCCGAGAACGGAGCUCAAAAAGGCUUUGAGGAGUCGUGGCAUCAAAUUAAUCCUCAUUACAAUAUUGUGUCAAGACGUUAAAACAUUGUUUGUUGCAAAAUUUCAGGAUUAAAACAAAAUAGCUGUUGUGUUGAUUUUUUA